CAAUAAGUAGUGUUUAUGGCACUUUCAAAUCCAUACCCACCUUGUGUGCAAUGUAUAAGAGUCCUUUUCCAACUCGGAUUGGACUUGAUUUUUCUCUCACACGUCUUCAAUUGCAAGUCUAAGCUUUCAGAGUAAUCAAAAAAACUCGAAUA
RNAcentral lists this unclassified non-coding RNA (152 nucleotides) under soil metagenome. Its description in RNAcentral is "partial internal transcribed spacer 1". The record is from RNAcentral.